Molecule: ribosomal RNA, 484 nt
Filed under: uncultured bacterium
Lineage: Bacteria
Description: partial 16S ribosomal RNA
Rfam family: Bacterial small subunit ribosomal RNA
Source: RNAcentral
AUUGAACGCUGGCGGUAGGCCUAACACAUGCAAGUCGAACGGCUGAAGGGAGCUUGCUUCUGGUUACAGCGGCGGACGGGCGGGUAAUGCCUAGGAACCUCCGUGGCUGCGGGGGAGUACGGCCGGACACGGGCGCUAAUACGCCAAUAGCGCAGACGGCGUACGGGUGGGAGCUGCGGACCUUCCGCUCUUAGACGAGUCUAUGUCGGAUUAGCUAGUUGGUGGGGUAAAGGCCUACCAAGGCGACGAUCCGUAGCUGGUCUGAGAGGAUGAUCAGCCACACUGGAACUGAGACACGGUCCAGACUCCUACGGGAGGCAGCAGUGGGGAAUAUUGGACAAUGGGCGCAAGCCUGAUCCAGCCAUGCCGCGUGUGUGAAGAAGGUCUUCGGGUUGUAAAGCACUUUAGGUUGGAAAGAAAGGCAGUAGGUUAAUACCUUGCUGUUUUGACGGUACCAACAGAAUAAGCACCGGCUAACUUCGUG